GCGUUUCCUUCCUCUCAUCCGUCUCCCUCUACCCCCCUCUAUCUAUCUCUCUCUUCUUCUCUCCUUUCGUCUAAACGUCUAUCGGUCUAUCGUUUAAUCGACUCUUUCUAGAUCUGCUGUCCACCCAUCCAUUCGUUCGUCUAUUCAGUUAACCGUAUAUCCAUUUUCCGAUUUACAUUUCUUAAAUCGCGUUCUCGAUUCUUAACGUAUUAGAUUUAGGAAAUUUAAGUGAAGAUCAUUUUAAACGAAGAUUAUUUUAUAGAUCGCAAUCUCUGGAAAUCGUUCCGUACGAUAAUCAAUGGAUUGUUAUAAAAUCAGUAAAGUUUAUUAUCGAAAUAUUAUCGGCACGAGUACAGGUGUAAAGAGAUCAUCGCACUCGGACCGAGCGAAGGGGGGCGACGAGAGUUCGGCCAGGGGUUGAACACGAGGAAAACCACGUGACGAGUAUCGGGAGUUCUGUAGUGACGAAUAAAAUCGCUCGCGUGCAGCUACGGAGUUACUUGGUCUAUUAAGUUUACCGAACUUCCCGAUAGUUAUUCCGGUACCAGAUUUCUUACAAUUGGCUGGAACGAGAAAUAUACGAUACGUCGUACUAUGUACGUAUAGUAUGGGGGAACGAAGACUUGGAAGAAGAUGAGAUAAGAGAGAGGAGUUUCAAGGCCGUCCGACGGAGGCGAGGGGGUGAAAUUCCAAGUUCAGGACCUUUCGAAGGAUCUCGCUAUCUCGGGUUGCUCUACCUACCCUCUACGCGACGAGAGAAGGGCAACCCUCUCGCCAUCCGAUUAAUACCGGAACGUUAUCCACGGAACAGGAGAGAGACCCAACGGUCUUCGCAGCAGCCACCCACCGGUACACCCUUUCCGAGCCAGCCCCGUCCCCCGCAAAAGCAUCGUUUGCAGCAAUUAACGUGGAAUAAACAUGAAAGACGACAAAGUGGGCAAGGUAUCGGUCGAUGAAGAAAGAGAGAGGCGUUCCGGGAAGUCUCGCGGCCAAAGAUCGUACACCACUGGCGAGUACAUAAAACGUGGAAGAUUCGAAGGCGAUUCGUGUUCGCCCGAUCCGCACGACCCGUCAUCGGCGAAGAAAAUUGCUCUCUCACGUGACUCUACGAACAGUAAACUCGUACUCUAUACACAGCAGCGGCAACAACAACAACCGCGAACCAGAAGCGUGGCGAUGAGAAAAAAGCGAAGAAGGCGAACGAGGCGAACGAGAAACAAAGGAGAGAACGGUGAAGAAAUGAGCGGCUCUAGGAAAAGUCUUAAAAUCCCUGAAUGAACCGCGAGUCGUCAAACGGAGUAGAGAAUGAAUGGUUGCCAGGCUCGGUUCCGACUGUGUCCGCGUCCCUCUCUUCUUGACCCUCCUCCUCGUCCGUCCCCUGGCUUCGUUCGGAUCGACCCUAAUUAUGUCAUAACAGUUUCGGAUGAUUUCUCUCCAACUUUGCCAACCUUUUAGUUUUUUCCUUCAGGUUCAGUGGAAUUCGAGAAAGAGAGAGAAACAGAGAGAGAGAGAAUAGGAGAGCGAAAGUACCGCCAUCAGCUGUUAUAAAAGCCAUUCGAACCUGAACAUCUAAAUUUGCAAGACUCGCAUAAUUCUAAGAACGUCACCGACAGGCGUACGUAAAGACGUCUCCUGGCGAGGGGAAUUUGAUACAGUGUAUUGAGUAUUGAAUACACGAUUAAAUGUCCACGGCAUUUAAUUAGCUCCGCGCGUACAAAUGGAGUGUCCACCGAAAAUCAUACAAAAAGACGGAACUAGUUUCAUUAGUCACACACGCGACGAGAUGACUCGAGCCAGUUUUGGAACGACGUAAAAAGAGCUCGAAGCCUUGUCGUUAAGUAUAGAGAUUCCGGUCUAUUUUCUCGCGAUUAAAAACCGAGUAGCAUCGUGACGAGCCACCCAGUACAUUACACACGUCAAAUUCCGUGGUAACAUGAAUCGAUGCGGUUUGUUCCGGUACGCGACGCGACGGAACACUCUUCAAACGUGCGAACAGAUCUCUUCCCUUUUUCGCUGCAUGACCAGUGAAACGUAGGCGGAUUCCACCGACCGAACCGAACCGAGCCAAACGGGAAGGGGAUAGGAGAGAAUAUAAGAAAUGGAACGAACGAGCUCUCCCUCUCUCUUUCUCCUGUUCUGCAUCCAUGCGAUCCAGUUUUUUAUCACACAUUCUCACGGACCAAUGCCGUCUCGAAUCCGACGAUUUUACCCGUUACAAAAAGUAACGGGCACACAUUUUGGAAAGCGAACGAUUCGUUCAAUCAGUUGGAUCAAUUGGAAAUUUUUUUUUGUUAGUAACGAUUGACAAAGAUCCUUCAUUGAUUUCAUUAUUUUUCGCUUUAAUGUAGAACCUCGAAUUUUUCCGUACCCUUAAAUCUAACCGUUGCUGAUGUGAGAAACCUCUGGCUCGCUGCUUUGAUCUUCUACUGGGCCACGGAUUUUUCAUCGAUAAGGAAUCUCGCCAACGGAUCUGUGACUAGAGUUUUAAAAAAGAACAGAUUCGACCCGAUUCCUUUCCUACGGUAUCUGUAUAAAUUUCAUUAGACCUCUCGCGGACGCAUCCGCUCUUGCUCGCAGCCAAAUUCUCCGCGAUCUCGGUCACAUUCUCAAUUGCCAUUCUUUUUUUUUUUUUAUUACGUUAAAUUCGAUUCAUCAGGCUGAAGAUCUUUGAUCGGAAGACAGAGCGUAACUACGAGCCUGAAUCCGGAGUCUUUUAUUUUCUCCCGUAUCGGUCUCGCAUAUCGAACUGAAUCGGGCUGCGAAAUGAAGUUAAUGUGGAAUCGUGCGAGUCAAGUGUGAGAAGCGAGGUGUACGCCACACUCUGGACCGGACACGGUGUGCUCGAUGAUCGAUCCCAGGAGAAAAAAGCAUGAAAAACCGACCAGGGGAACGAAACUCUCGUUACUGUUUUAUUUUGCCGAACGCAAGCCUCUCGCGAAUGAGAAGUGUUGGUAAAUCGCUAUCCUCGAUGUUUGCUCUAAAACUUUUAGCAUACGAUGAUCGUACGAUCCAAGAAUAAUAAUAAAUACGAAUUCUGUGCGAACAUUUUUUAGUUGGCAUUAGUUUUAUCGUAGACAAAUUGCGGAUUCUGACACGCGUAUAGAUUCGUCUGCGAGCGACGGAGGUGUAAGGACCGCCAGGUAACCAUAAUAACGUUUCCAGGCUUAAAAUAGUUUCGAUACCCUUUUCUGAUUGACUAAAGUUCGCCAUUCUCCUCAAAUAUAGUCCAUUCGAUUCUAUUACGUGUCUUACGCGUACAAUUUUCUUGUCACCCGGAUGGAGAAUGGACUAACGUUAACUCGACUCGGUAAUCCCGAGUCAUUGACUCUGUUUCCGGUUUCGGUUCUCCGCCGUUCCCUGUCCCUCGCGCCGCGCUGUCAUCCCCUAUCCCAGUUCUCGCCCUCUUUCUUCUCUUUCCCGGCUAUUUCUAUCCCUCCAUUCAGUUCUAUCUAUAUCCAAUUUGUUUUUAUCCGCGUUCAAUCUAUUCCCUCGGCUCGUCGCUAUUUUUCACCCAUUGCGCGUGUACCUAUUCCCAACUGAUAUCUUUGAUUUUUUUUCAUUCACGUUACUACUUCCAUAUGAUCGCCCGAAGUACGAACAGUCGAGUCGGACAGACGUGUGCGUAGAAACGAGUUCAAUUCAAGAUCGAUAGGAAAAAAUAAGAACUGAGCUGGGAAAGGGUUAGUAGAAAAGAAACCGAUGUCACUCGACCUAUUUUCUCAAUCGCUUCGGAUCGCAUCUCGUUCCUAAGUAAACGUAUAUAGGGUACGUACGUAUACACGUAGAUAUAAAUGGUCGUCCGUAUAUUAAAAAUUAAGUGAUCCUCUGCUCGAGUGCGCCUUCCUAUUUUAGUUUGCAAAUGUAUUUAAGUACCCGGGCACGAAUGCUUCUCGUUAGUCGUUGAAGCUCCUCCUUUUACAUGUCGUGUAUGUGUCUCUUCUAUCGUCAUACACUUUUACAGUGCGCAACAUUUUUCUUUUACGUGCACGUUUAACGUCGACUUUGCUAUUAUAAUCAGUUUCGAUUAUGGUUCACGCGUCUUUGAUUCGGCGCGAGUGCUACUUUACGUUGCGCGUUUCAUGGUGUCCGUAUAUUGGAAAACGAUUCUUCGUGAACAGAUUAAAAUAAUGUGUAA
This is a long non-coding RNA of Ceratina calcarata, 4135 nucleotides long. RefSeq lists it as uncharacterized. The transcript is spliced from 4 exons. Lineage: Eukaryota; Metazoa; Arthropoda; Insecta; Hymenoptera; Apidae. The record is from RefSeq and is a predicted model, not a curated record.